This 88-nucleotide transfer RNA is filed under the name Pseudomonadota bacterium. RNAcentral describes it as "tRNA-Tyr". It matches the Rfam family "tRNA". Rfam says of the family: Transfer RNA (tRNA) molecules are approximately 80 nucleotides in length. RNAcentral also lists the same sequence under 2 other names. The record is from RNAcentral. Lineage: Bacteria; Pseudomonadati; Pseudomonadota.
GCCAGGGUGGGUGAGUGGCUAAAACCGACGGUCUGUAAAAUCGUUGCCCUGACGGGCUACGCAGGUUCGAAUCCUGCCCCUGGCACCA